CGCCCGCCCGCGUGGCAGCGGGGCACGGCGGGGUGUGCGGCGUCUCCCUGCGGUGGCUGCUUUGGUACUGGGGGACGACAGCUGCAUCCCACGCCGUGUCCUUCCGUCCGUCCGUCCUUUCAUCCAUCCAUCCAUCCAUCCAUCCAUCCAUCCAUCCAUCCAUCCAUCCAUCCAUCCAUCCCUGAGUGGGCGGCGGCUCGUGUGUGUGUGUGACUGACAGGGAGGCGCGCACAGCGCGGGGGCAGCCGCUCGCACUCAGCCCGCCGGGGCCACGCCGGCGCGCCCCGGCUGCGGCAGCCACUUCUCCGUCCCCCGGAGCCCUCCCCGGUGGGGACAACCUCAGCGGCCUCGCUGCUCGUCCUCCUCCUCCUCCCUCCUGGCGGGACCUUCGCCUUCUGAAACGGGAACUGAAAUUUGGCUCGUCAGCAUCGAGUUGCUGAUGAAAAUCUUGGUCACCUCAGCAUUUGCCGUCUUUUUGUCUCCUUAAGAAAAAAAAAGUUAUGAGAAGUGUUUUGUACGUAUGGUAAACAUAUUUAUGGAAGUGACCGCUAAAUUAUCCAGAAAUCCUGUCUUUAAGGCUAAAAUCCUGUAAGGAAAUAGGUAAACAUAAUCAUAAUUAAUUGCAUAAUUAAAGCCUUUACCAUAUUACCUAUUCUUGUCUAAAGGUUGCACAUUAGGUGCAGUACUUGAGUACUGUGAGGAGACUGAGAAGUUAUAGUUGUUGGCAUUGUGUUGUGAAAUGUACAGAAGGAAAUGUUAAUAUCAUAUUAAAAAAAAAAAAAAAAAACUUGAUUUCAAGCACUUUGUUAGAGCUUUAGGAUCAGGAUCAUUACAGGCAUGUUAGGAACUGAGACUGCCUGUGCAUGGACAGGAGGAGAACUUGGGCUGAUUGGGAGUAAUGCAGUUUCCUGAGCUGCUAGUAAAGGAAGGAAAGACUUGAACUUGUGCAGUUUAUUUUUGUCUGUUUAUUUUGCAAUAAUAGCAUUUGAAUCCCUUAGCUAGAAUCAGCCACAAAUAUCAAAAAGUUUUGAAAAAUAAUCUGGAAAGGAGCAUAUCACCCCUCAAAAAACCAGCGUCAUGAAUGUCAAUUACAUGAAAGAAUCCAUCCACAGACAACUGCUGUCUGAAGCUCAAAUUAAUAGAAAUCAGGUUUCUUUGUCUACAUUUCUUAAUAAUUGAUUUGCUUUUAUGUGAGAAAUGUUAGGAACUUUUCUAUGUUUUAAACUGUAACCAUUAAAUCAGAAGAUACAGAUCUGGAAAGAUCAGUAAUGUAACAUUUAAGCAUUCCUUCAUUCUUUAGGAUGUUAUUGUUAUUAUUUAUGUAUCAUCCAUUUCCAGGCCAAGUUUUUCAGAUUCAGGAGGGAAUACUUUGUCACAUGUCUGUAAAGCAGCCAGCUCUCUACAGUCUCUGGGCAGAUUCUGGCAUUGUACUCAUAAGGAGCAGUAAGUAGUUCACUGGUAGAGAGGGCAAACACUGUUCUUCCUGAAACAAACUGAGCAGCGUGGAGUCAAUUUGUGACAUUGCAUAAGCUAAGUAGUACUUGAGUUAUAUAUCUGAGUCCAGGGGCAUUUUUAGGAGCAAACACGGUGACUGCCAGGACAGCAAGUGGAAGUCACAGUUGCAUUACUUAGGUAGCAAUAUCAGUCAUCUCUUGUGCAAGUGUGUCAAAGGAGCCUGUGCCCAGCUCACUCACAGUCACAGUGUCUGUCCUGGCAGCAGGCUGCCCUACAGGCUUUGGAAGACCAAGGACCCAUGAGGAGCCCACUAAGCCUGUUGGAGGGAAGAACAGACACUAAGCCAUGACUCUUGGGCAUGCAAGCAAAGACAGCUUGGGUACUGAUGGCCAUGAUCAAACUCUUCCAGGCAAGCCCACAAUUACAGGGUAAAAAUGUUGAAAUUAGUAUGAAAUUGGAUGUAAAAUCUUUUGUUAAAAAAAGCUUCCAGUGCUGAAAUCAAAGUUGUGUACAUGACAUUACAGCAGUCUAAAGCUGUGUGCCAUAUUCAAACACUUUUUAUGCCCUGAAGAAAACUGUAGGCCAUAUAGGACCUCAGACAGUUCCUGUGAAAUGCAAAGCAUGUCUACAUUGCCCUUUACAAUAAAAUAGUAAAAAGUUUGCAUGCUGUUUUAUAUCAUUUUAGGAAAGUCAUUUUCAAAGAGAGCUGAAAAAUAAAAACAUGAAGAUAGAAAUGAUACCUGGUUUUCAUUGCAUACUUCUAUUUCUUCCGUAAUUAUAUGCCAUAACUAAAAUAAAUAUAUUUAUAUAUAAAUAUAAAUAUGUAUUUUUAAUUUAUAAAUGUGUACUAUAUGAUAUACACAAUAAAUUUACACAGUGUAAAAUUUAUAAUUUUACACUUAUAUGUGAUAAGGUGUAUCAACAGGCAGUCUUUGCUGUACCACAUAGUACAUACUGCGUGCUGUAUUAACACAGUGCUACAUACAGUGCAAGUUGAUGUAUUCUGUGCUUGUAAAUAAAUUUGUAUUUAUAUUAUACUGCAUAUAUUAACAUCUAUAUAGAAAUAGCAGAUUGUAUUAUCAUAUGUGAACCAUUACAUAAACAUAUUAUGUAUAUACCUAUGUGCCUCAUGCAGCUUCUUUCAAUGCCUAUUUUCAGACACUCUCUGUAGGAAAGGUGAUCUUAAUUGACUCACUGUUGCUGUGUGCUCCAUUGCAUUUGGUGUUUUCUAGUGCAAGGCAGUGUCAGAACAUAAGCUAGCUGCAGGUGUAACAGUGUGGGAUUCUGGCCUACAGUUGGCACAAGUUCAGAUACAGCAUGCUGUGUCCAGCCUGCUUAAAGGCACAAAGAUUACCAUGAGCCUUCAGACUAGAAGUUGAUGUAUGAAUUAAUUGUUUUCUUGGAUUUUGAUUGCAGUGAUAUCAUGGUUUUAAGUGAAUACACUCCUCUGUAAGUGACUGUAGAGUGAAGGCUCUGAAGUGGUUUGGUUCUCAGUUGUAGAUUGAAAAACCCUGUUGGCAUUCUGCAUCUUUCCAGUCUUGGUGCACCUUUGCUGUAGGAAGCCCAUUAUUUAAAUUUAAGAAGUUUAAUGAAAGGUAGAAAUUAAUAAUUUUUGAGGGAAUUUUAAGAAGCUACUAAACGUUCAGAGCUCUGUGUGCAUGUGUGUGUGUCUGUGUAUGGGAGUGUGGCAUUCUGUAUUUUUCAGUGAACUAAUUGUUAAGAAGAAAUUAAAUCAACUAAUAUGUGUAUGAAAAGAGCCACAUCUCUGGUUGUUAAUUUUGUGUCCAGUUGAUAGAUAGAUUUUUGUGAGGUUGCAUGUUAAACACUUUUAUGUUUUGGUUGUAACAACUUGAGGGUUUUUUUAGUGAUAUUAACAUAAAAGACUUUUAAAUACUAUUUUUUUUUCACUUGAGAAAUGUUGAAUAUUUGAUGGUACUUUCUGUAAGUCUAUCCACUAACUCUUUGGGUAAGUCCCCUACUGGAAUAGUCCCUUUUCCCCACAUUCCACUUGUCAAACAGUUUUAGCUGAAUCCAGAAUUUUACAGGUCCUCUUCUAAGCUUAGAACUUCUCUGCUACAUUACAGGUUAUGUCUUCUUGUCCCAGAGUCUGAAUCUAAAGGAAGCAUGUUUACAAUCAUGUGUUGUUCUGGCCCACGUCAGGUUGCAUUCUGAUUAUGUUCUAUUUUUCCUGCACUGAUUUUGGUUCCAUAAAUACACAUCUCAAACUUCUCUCAUGUCCGUAAGCAGGCUGGUGUGGUGUGUAUUCUUGUCAUCUCCAAGUGAUACACAGGAUAAUAACAUGAGUAUUAUAUUGGCAAAUCAUCUAGGCCACCUUCUGUAAGCUUUAUAUCAACUGCUAGUAAUUGUCAGCCUGUGUCUCACUCCACCUUCAUUCAUACACACAGGUAGCUCUGUCACUAGCAUAACAUUUAAUGCUAGUUCUGUAAGUGAAAGAGAUACAUGUACUUCAAGUUUUGUGAUAAAAUUCAUAUAAAUAUAACUAGAACAUAGAAUUCUAUGAUAACAUAUAGCCAGAGCAUGUUUUUCCAUUGAGGUUCGUUUUCUCUGUAACCAUCAACCAUGCCCCAAUCAAAUUGUUUUCUUUUGCAGCUCAAAGUGACACAGAACACAGCACAUUGUCACUACAGGAGCAGACUCGACUGUGAAAGAUCUCUAUCAGGCAUCACAGAGAAUUUGAGGCAGCUGGCAGCUAUCAGCUGAAGCAGUUAGUCAGUAGAACUGAACAAGAUAAAUAGAUAAUUGAAAAGCCAUCUGGAAACCUGGGAGAGAUAAUAAGCCUCUCUUCUAGAAGUGAGGUAACAACUCAGGUAGGUCACAGAUGAACUCAACUCCCAGAUCAGUGCUUUGCCUAAUAACACUGAAAAUACAGCAGCAGUUCAUGGCUGUCAGUUCUGAAGUAGUAUUGAAGUUGUUGUUGGAAAGGCAGUUUGGCAUAUUCAGUUAUACAAAUCAUUAUUGCAAUAGAGUGAAAAAGGAUUGUACUGCUAAAAGACGGGUGACCAAAAUCCCGGGAGCAACAUGGUCCUUUGUAAAAUUACAGUUGCCAAAAUAGAAAACUAGUUGCACACACUUUUUACUCUCCGUGCUACUUUGUUUAUACUGCCCUGCAGUAUAUUUUUGCCACACUGACCAUGGUUGUUUGUGGGGCAAGUGACUUCUUUUUUUGUGAAAUUUAUAUUUAUAUUAAGACAAUGGAACUAUUUUUGUUUUAUUUACCAUGAGCACAGAGAAUGGAGGGGAAAAGCCAAUGUCUAUGAGUGAAAGAAUGUGUUGAUCUUAGUAGCUGCAUUUUAAAAGAGUCCUAAAGAGUUUUUCUGUUCAAGUCACUCUAAUGAUUCUCAAAUUUCUGACUACAGGGAGUGUGAAAUCUUACAGUAACAUGCAAGGAAACUGAUACCAUUUGGUAACUCCUCUUGCUAGGUUCUGAUCUCUUGUAGAACUAUACUGAUUGUAGGGAAGGAACAUGAGAUAUUUUUGUGAGAGUGGGCACAAAAAAAUAAGUUUUUGGCCUUUUUCAAAAAAGAAAGCGGCAUCUUUCCACCAGAGAAGUUCUUGAAUUGAUCCACUGGCACCUGUCUAUUUUGUUAAACCAUUCAGGUGGAUCACAGGAAAUAACUGCUGCCAGUGUAAUAAUUCUUGUGGAGGUGAACAAAACAAACAAACAAAAAACCCCAAACAACCAACAAAACAAAACAAAAACAAAAAAGAAAAAAGGGAAGACUUUUGCUGUUCAAUUUACUUAGAAAGAUGCUGUUAAAAAUCUGUUUCCAAAAAUUCUGUCUAAAAAAUUCCGUGCAUUUGCGCUGAAAGAGCAUAGAGCAAAACACAUGCAUCAAAGUUUUUUACUGUACUAGUUGCUCCAAUUACAGUGGCAGUUACAGUAUCAGUUGCUACAGUACAGUAGCUAGGAAAGCAACAUAUUAAAUUCUCAAAAUCCUUAAAUGAAAAAUUUGCAUGUGUCCAUGUUGCUGGCUGCAGAAAUAAUGUGAUUUAUUUGAACGGUCUCUGUAAAUCUUAAAAAGUAACUGCUGUUUUUAUUUUUUAGGUAUUUUUCGAAUAUCUGUUUUACUAUGGUACAGGACAUGAAUUAGUUGUGUGCAUAUGUAAAUUCUGCUUCUAUGUGUUGACUGUUGAGCAUGUUUUCCUUUCAUAUCUCAUUAUAUGAGUGCUAAAACAAAAAAAAAAAGGCAAAGCUUUAAAGUUUACUAAUGCAUGAAAAAUUUUAAAUUGCCAUUUGCUGUUUAAUCUUUCCAUUAUAAUCCUAGUGAUAGACUAGAGUCUAGAGCCAUUUUUCAUAUCAGUUUCUCAGUUUAGACAAAAGUGUACAAUUGUAAAUUACCAUUGUGUUGUAAGAUAUGUCUAACUUCAUUAGAUUACAAAACUUCUUAGGUACCAGGAGAAUUUUCUUCCUGACUUACUUAUUUUUAUUUUCUUCUAAAAGAAGGUGAAAUGAAACAGCCAAAAAAUUACUUUUUAAGUAAAAUUCCAGAAUCUGCCUAAGUAUUUAUUAUACAAGAAUCCAAUAUAGCAAUAACUAUAAUCUAAAAAGAUGUUGGCAACAUGCUGUUGUAAACACUGCAAAUAAUACUUAGAAUAAUAUGCAGAGUCAGAAGUAAGAAAGCAUCACUCAGAGGGAAGCAUCCUUAUAAUUAGGAUAGAAACAGAUCUAUUUUACUUUUUUCUCUCCCUUAUGAAUCCUUUGAGUAUUUCAGUCUUUUACUGUGCUGCGAUCCAGAUUCAGGAAAAGUGAAGAAUAAAUAGUUCAGCUCAGGCUCACAAUAUACAACUGAGAUUUAGGCUCUACUGUAGGAGAUCUGAACAGAGGAAGGUCUUAGAAACUCUCUGUAGUCAAGUUCUCUAAUUGUGCAUGAAGGGAGAGAUCCUUUGUUAUCUGGUUGUGCUCAAAUAUUAAGUCAGUGCUCUAAAUCUCGGGGGAUGAAGGUGUCUGUUUUAUACAGGCACAUUACUUAGAUUAACUGUUCAGAAAAACAUCAUGCCUAAGUGUUUCCAAAGCUCUUUGCUCUACCAUCAGGAAAAAGGAAAAGGCUUCCCCCAAAGGGUUCUGAAUUUCAUCACUUAAACGCCUGCUUAUUUGAGAGCUGGCUGCCUAAGGAACUACAUGUGAACCCUCCUGCUGCUAUAAUACUCUGAAUAAGGCCCUUGAGUGUAGAUAGGUUUGCAGAAAUGUAAAGCAUCAAUGAGCAUACUCUGAUGGGAUCAUAUUCUGCACUCAAGAAAACAUGACAUUCCUGAACAAGCUCACAGAAUGUAAUGAAUUUCUUGAAUACCAUGAGUACAUUGAAGUAAUCUACAGUACUUCACUUGUUAUUCAUUGUGAUGAAAGCACUGGAGUAUAUGAUCAAAAUCAUACAUGAAAACCUUUCACUUCAUGUCAUUAUGACUUAUUAUUAUAAUCUUGGUUUACUUUUCUGGGAUAAUCACAUCUUUACCGAGUGGGUAAAACUUUAGAAAUAGAAGUAUGGUUGGAAUACUAGUGCUGGGCAUGCUUAAAAAUCAUCAGUAUAUAAUGUAUUUACUUUCUUUGCUGAUUAGGUAAAAAAUGUGUGUCUACAUUUGAGGGGACACAUACCAAACAAGUUCUUCUCCUAACACACAAAUCAACACCAGGAGACUUUUGAAGAAGAAAACACACAAUAUUUACGUGUGUGGUUCUAAAGUGCACUAUAAGGAAGCAGAAGUCAACUUUCUAUUUGGGGAAGGUCUCAGAUUGCUAACCCAAACCCUUUUUUCCCAACAAAUGGCAAUGGCAAUGUGUUUACAGGUAUUCACAUAUUUCCAUUACUUUUCUGUGACUUUCUUGUUCUUUAACAAUAAGGCCUGAUGUAACUUCUGCAAGUGCCCCAGGAUCACACUGUUUUGUUUUGUUUAUUCCACAAAAUCAGUAAUAAUAGUUUAUUUUUUUCCAUUUACAUUUUUUUAUCAGUCGUUGUCUCAUUGUCAGUAAUGUCUUUGGAUGCACAAGUCUGAUACCGAAUUGGUAUUCAAAUAUCUACUUCUUAUCAAGUAGCUUGAAUUCAACAAUUUAUUGUGGUCUAGGGUGAGACUUAAGUGCAAAUUGAGACAUCGUCGGCAUCUAUAUGGAAGGGCUCAGGUGUAAACUAUAUAUGUAAACUCUUGCUCUAGACAAGAGUGAAUGCAACCUGUGGACCCUUCUUGGUGCCUUGUCUGCUGAUGAACUGCUUUGCAGAUGUUUCAGAGGGAACUGAGUUGUUCUCUAAGCUCCAUCUGAACACAGACAAAAAUUAUGGCAUCAUGUGAAAUGUACUGUCAGUUUCUUUCUUGCAGUUCUCUACGGGAUGAAAUUCCCAGAAACUGGAAAAAUACAUUUAAAAUAUAUUUUUAUAUCACUAAGUUCCUGACAAAAAUAGUGAAAAGAACUUUCCUGAGUUUCUCCCAAAGACAAAUCAGGAUUCCAUAAAAUUGUUGGUUCUUCUCUUGUUGUUUGCUGUGACUCGUGCACAUCAUACAACAGUACCCGAAGCUAUUGACCAGGUAAAGCAAUCUCGGAUAUCUUUGUGUGCUUUUGUUCUGAAAAUGUUUAUCUAUGUGCAUCUUGGAUCUCUCAGGCUUAUUCAAUGCAUUUAAGAUAUUAACAGGAUUACUUGAGUUGGUAACCUGAAAUAAUCUGACAUUGCAUUUAUUGAUGCACAAGAUUAUUCCAAAUUUUGUGUCCAAAUGUCUUACCUUAGAGUUCCAUAUGAAUAAAAUACUUUAAACAUA
Molecule: long non-coding RNA, 8217 nt
Organism: Haemorhous mexicanus (house finch)
Lineage: Eukaryota; Metazoa; Chordata; Aves; Passeriformes; Fringillidae
Exons: 2
Source: RefSeq, a predicted model, not a curated record